GGUUGUGGUUCAGUGGUAGAGCGCUUGCCUAGCAUGCAUAAGGCACUGGGUUCAAUCCCCAGGACCA
Molecule: transfer RNA, 67 nt
Filed under: Ictidomys tridecemlineatus (thirteen-lined ground squirrel)
Lineage: Eukaryota; Metazoa; Chordata; Mammalia; Rodentia; Sciuridae
Description: Spermophilus tridecemlineatus (thirteen-lined ground squirrel) tRNA
Rfam family: tRNA
About the family: Transfer RNA (tRNA) molecules are approximately 80 nucleotides in length. Their secondary structure includes four short double-helical elements and three loops (D, anti-codon, and T loops). Further hydrogen bonds mediate the characteristic L-shaped molecular structure. tRNAs have two regions of fundamental functional importance: the anti-codon, which is responsible for specific mRNA codon recognition, and the 3' end, to which the tRNAs corresponding amino acid is attached (by aminoacyl-tRNA synthetases). tRNAs cope with the degeneracy of the genetic code in two manners: having more than one tRNA (with a specific anti-codon) for a particular amino acid; and 'wobble' base-pairing, i.e. permitting non-standard base-pairing at the 3rd anti-codon position.
Source: Rfam by way of RNAcentral